GCUCGUAUGGCUUAGUUGGUAAAGCGCAUGACUAGUAUCAAAUCAUGAGAUCCUCGGUUCGAAUCCGAGUACGAGCA
This is a non-coding RNA of Talaromyces islandicus, 77 nucleotides long. The record is from the annotation of a GenBank genome assembly. Lineage: Eukaryota; Fungi; Ascomycota; Eurotiomycetes; Eurotiales; Trichocomaceae.